UGUCAUGUACGCAACCUCGGGAAACUAAGCAGCUGCUGCUUGUUUGUGUGUCAUGGUCACAACUGUUUUUCUUCCACAUCCUACUCUCUCUACUUUUAAUUGAUUUUGGGGGGGUGGGCUGCUUUUUCUGGGGAGUUUUCCCUCACCGGUGUUAUUCCACACCUGUCCACCAGGUGUCAUCUGUGUGGGCUCCUGUUACACAACUCUGCAUAACUGUGCCAAUGUGCUUCCUGCCUCCACAGCUGUCCCACAUCACAAAUUACUUUCUAAAUGCAUAAGUAGAGCUGUUUUCUCAGUUGCAAGGUUGUUUGCAGUACAUCUGUUAAUUAUGCUGAGCUUUCGUUUGUGGAAUUAAGUCUUACCAUCUUGGUGUCUUAGAUAUGUGGAUCACACUCAGGGAAUCUCAGGGACUCAUGUUUACCUGUUGCUGAGGAAGUUCAUGUCCGGUAUGUUCUUUAUUUUAUGAAGGCAGACAUCAAACCGACACCUGUUCUCAUUCACCUUUUGAGCACAGCAGAAAUGUGAAGGCUACUUGACAUUUAUGGAAGUGUGUGUGAUAUAUCUUUGUUGCAUGUCUUACAUUUCUUUUUAAAGGUCAUCAGAAAAGCAUCAAGUGAUUUUAAAGAUCAUAAACUGGCAACAUCGGCUGAGACACUUUGAAUUAAAAUGCAGAAUUUGAAUUUAAAAUGUGUUAAAGGGGACAAAGGUUGGGAAAUGGCUCCCAUACUUUGCUGUACUUAUCUAUGCUGCGCGCUCCCACUCUGGCAUGGACAGGAUAAACACCUCAUACUUUGCUGUUCUCUCAAUAAUCCCACUUGGCAGCCAUGUGGCACAUCCGAUGGAGGGAAUGCAGCUCAUAAGCAGAUAGGCCGUAACAGGCGUGGAAUCUGCUCGGAACUGAUACGUUCAGAGUACAUACAUGCCCGGGGAAACAAACAAGGAAAUGCAUAUGCAUGCUAAUUGAAAGUGUUUCUACAAUUACUCCAGUUGCGGUGGAAUCUGAUUAUUAGCAUGUACUGUAGCUGCAGACCUUCUUAUGGUCUGAGGGUUUGCAAGUUUAGAAAAGCUCUAAUGUCUGCCAUUUUAAAAUGACAGUGCGUGUUAGUAACAGCUGCACACACAAACCGCUGACUUAUGCUCAUCUGCACCUACCAAUGUCAGGUUUUUGUUUUUCCCUACUGCUCCGGCCUCUCUUUCAUUCCCUCUAAUCUGCAGCCACCUGCUUCUCUAAAGUCUUACUUAGUUACUUAAGUAUAGUAACCCUAAGUAACUGCCAGACUCACAUCCCGCUGAGGCAACCAACUUUACACACCAGCACCUAUUUAUGCUCUCUUUGUGUGAAUUUAAUGAUGGGGGGAAAUCAUCACACACAAAGCAUGCAUGCUUAAUUUUGUGCCUCUGUUGUUAAACACACAAACAAGGCUCAUGAUUGAUGACAGUGCUUUGUCUUCUGAACUUGGCCAAAGACAGAGAGAGUACACACACACACGUGUGCACACACAUGCACACUAGCCUUGGUGCUAGGUCUGUGCAUCUAUUACAUUAUGUUUCACAUCUCAGGUGUGCAAGUAAAUCAUCUUAAACAAAAUCACAUGCAGGGGGAGCCUUUUGUUACAUUAUGCUCACACAAAACCUAUCAGAUCGCUGUCACCGUUGCUCUGAGCUGCAGGGGGAAUUCAUUCAUGCUUCCAAGUCCAGAUAGUCAAAAAUGUUGGAUGCCAAAUCACAACUCCCCGCUCAGAGAGAAAACAUGUCUUUGUUGAUUCACAUAAUGGAAUUUAGCACAGAAGCAGGAGACACACAAAUAACCAGUAAUUCUUCUGAGAUUUUAUCACAGCCAAUACUGGUUUUCAGUGAAGCUGGACAUAAAACGCCAGAUAAGGAUCCAGACUCAGGCAAAAGAGUGUUUUUAGUUUCACACGUUUGGAUCUCUGACAAGCAGUAAAUGUUAUGCUCUUCCCCGGCCAAUCCUUUCUUAUUUCUAUUGUUUUUACCAUAUUAUAUGUAAACCUGUCUCAUAGAUUACAUGAGAUGCUACCUGUUCCAUAGCAGGUCAGUGCCACAAUAUGUACCCAUCCAUAUCAUGACACACCGGCCCACUGUGUCCAUUUCACAGAUGCAGAAGUUGCAGUAAAUUUCAGUAAUCUGCAGUAUCAAGCCAACAUGAAGAUAAUCACGGGAAAGCAUUUAAACAGACAUUAUUAUACACAUUAGCCACCUAGCUUAAUCGAUUCUGACGAUUAAGGAUCCUUGAAUUAAUACACUGACUUUGUGGCUUUAAAUUAUCUCCCCCUGCUGGUAAUGCAAUUUCUGUAUGCGUGUGCAUUUCAAAUUUGGAGAGGCAAAGCGUGAAGUGGACACGGUGGACCAACAGAUACUGGGUUGACCCAUCACCUGUCAAAUAUGAGAUGCCGUUCUUAAAGGCAGCUAUGUGAUCGUAUUAUUAAUGAAUGGUCUUCAGUGCUGCCCAUAAUUUAGACGUGGAAGGAUUACUGACAGUAAUUGCUUCUAGGUUAUUAUUCCAUCACUGCGGCUCUGUUGAAGAUGACAUGAAUAGAAGGUCAUUUAAUGGACUCCAAGAGUGAUUACAAAACAUUACAUAAACUAACUUUAUCUUAAUGACAUUCGAGUUCAGAAUAUCAAAUGCAACAUGCUACGCUAUUAAGAAUUGAUGUCUAAAAAUAGAUUUUUGACUAUGCUGCAAAUGCACAGUCAGUGUCAAGGACGUGUGCUUUGUAUGAUGCUCACCGGAGAGCGGGGAGGGGUGGGGGGGCUAAAAAUGCUAGCAAAAUAAUGUGAGAUGAGUUAGGUUUGCUCUGCUGAGAAUGUGUGUGCACGCAUGUGUGUCUCCUCUCUCUUAUUUACCACUUUGUGUGAGACAGUCUCUAAAUACUGAACAGCUCCUUUGAGAAAACAGAAAUAGGAAUGCGGAUGGUUUAAUAUUUACCCCUCGUCUCUUACUCCUCUAUUACCUUCUUCUCUCAAAUACAUAAAGCGAUACUUUAUCUUCCUUCAGACAUCACAAGGCUCAUUAUGUCUGUUUUUCAUCUCCUAAUAAAAUAAGAAAUCCGUCUUGUCUACAAUCAACAGCCCAAGCAGGCUCUGUAAUUCAGUAAGACUAUUGACCAGUCUCUGUUUGAGAAGACGUGGAUGAAUCGGAACGCUCAGUGUGGCGCUUAAGCCAUGUAGUCUGUCCCUCAGUCUCAAGAUACUUGUGAUUGAUGUCCUGGGACGUAACUAUUGAACAGCAAAUCCCACUCCAAUUUAUGGCACUAAGAACAUAAAAUGACUCCCCAGGCCAGAAUACAUCUGAAUUAGGAAAAGGAGAGCAGAUCUGUCGAGGCUGUCUGAAAAUACUCCAUCAAACAGUGAGAACAUCAAAGACUUAAUUCCAAGCGACACUUAAUGACAGGAACGUAUUUCUGUGAGAGACGGAUGACAAUGAAUACAGACAGGUUUUACUUUGAAAGUACAAAUAAAGUCAGUGUCUUUUGUUUCAUUUGUGACAUUUGAGCAACAACAUGUAAUUUCAAGAAGGUUAUCGAUAUAUGCUGAGACCUGCUGCUCUUUCUGAGUGUUGCUACCGUAGAUUUGACUCAAGAAGAUUACCGGUGUCUAAAAACACAAGCAAGAAGUAAAGGCAACAUCACAGCAUCAUGUAGCUGCAAGCCGUAAGGUACAGACGGGUUUUGUUACUUUGUUAUUUAUUAGAAUAAAUAACACCAAAAAUAUCACCUAAAAAAUAACGUGAAUCGAGUUUUUUCUCAAUCUACACUUGAUUAUAAUCUCAAACAGGAUUAACUCAGAGUGGUAAUCAGAGGAAACGAUCAUUUUGUUCAUUCAGCCUCUCGUUUUUUUUGUUCUGUCAACGUUUGAGCACGAGAUUAUAAGAAGCAAACUUUGAUUUAAAACAAAUCUUUCACUGUAUCAAACAUCCCGUGAACUUUAUUUAACUAAAUGUAUACCAUAGUUUGAAAUACUUUUUGUAAAUAAACACUGUGUGUACAGUAAGUUCAUUUGGGAGUUACAUUUUCAUUUGCAGAGCCAUUAGCAGUUUGGUAGCCCAGUCUCGCUUUAAACAGUCAUUGACA
This is a long non-coding RNA of Oreochromis niloticus (Nile tilapia), 4091 nucleotides long. RefSeq lists it as uncharacterized. NCBI's taxonomy places the organism in Eukaryota, Metazoa, Chordata, Actinopteri, Cichliformes, Cichlidae. The record is from RefSeq and is a predicted model, not a curated record. The transcript is spliced from 3 exons.